AUGUCUAAUCUAAACCAAACCUGCUCCAAUGAUGCAUUGGACUACUUCAAUGAGAACAUAGGGCUAAGAGGGCCAAUCACGCGAGUCAAUGCUCUCAUAGUGGUUAACGCCAUCUUGAUGGGGUUCAUGGUCGGUAUAGGCGCCUAUGGCCAUCGCUACCGGCACAAUCCACUGAUCCGUUUCCUCUUCCUGGCUGCCACCAUAUUGUUCUUGCCCAUUGUCUCUUAUAUUGUCUCUUCCAGCGGUUUAGGCAUUGGCAAGUUGACCAGCAUACUACACUAUGGUGAGUUGCUCAUAAAAGGGGAAUGUUAUACAGGAUUACACAUAAUCUUCAUCCUUAUAUGGACGGGUUUUGUCUUGAUUAUUGGUAUCAAUACCACUGCACUAGUGGCAGCUGAUGCUAGGGAAGGUCGAAGCAUUCAUCCCAAUAUGACGCUACUUAUUCAAGCAUUAUGGACUUGCUACCUAGGGAUAUACACCUCCAAAAUGUUUGUUCUCAAAAGUUUCGGCAACUUAUUGCUUCUUGGGGCAGUUGGUUUUAUAUUUGUCAAAUUACUUCUGAAGUAUUAUGCAUGGUGCAUUGCUAGAAAAUCAUUAGCCUUUGGGCGCAAUCCUCGUCUUAUUGUUGGAUACAUGGAGCAGCUACAGGAUGGAGGCCAUAUUGUUAUGUCAGAAAGUGAGCAUAUACCUCCUCCACUUAUAGUUACUGGUGAGCACAACAUGCAGGUGCAGGAGAAGCCUUGUGGCUACAAAUUCAAGUGGAUAUCCAGCAGAGUGACAGGUGAUAUGAACAGCAAGGGAUUAGUGACCUUUGAUAAAGUCUGGCAGUUGAAUGACACACUUUUGAGGUCAAAGUCACUAGAGCUAAAAGAACUAUGCUUUUCAUUCGCAUUAUUUAAACUGCUACGGUGUCGAAUUGCAAGGUACACAAUUACUGAGGUUGGUUUCAUCAAGGGCAGUAACUUCUUGCGACAAAUGUUGCUUGAAGAUAAUGAUGGUGAGAGAGUAUUUGCGGCAAUUGCACAUGAGCUUUCUUUUCUUCAUGAUUAUUAUUAUUCACCCCAUCCAAUCACAUAUUCAAGAAGUUGGCUGCCAAUUGUGAGCAUAUUCAUUUCAAUACUGAGCAUAUUUUACAGCUUAGUUGUCUUGAAAGAUAUAACGAUUGGUGUUGCCAUUCCCCUGGUCAACUUGACCAGUCACCCGGAAGGGCAGAUUAAUUGUUAUAUCUCCUGUAUCGAGAUUUCUUCGGACACUUCAAGAAGUUUGAGCACACGAGGAGGAAGUUCAAUAAUAUCUUUUGGAACUCUGUACUUCGAUAUCAUGCCAUUGUAUAUACUUGCUGCAUUAGUUAUGCUUAACGAGGUUAGGGACAUAGCAUCAUACAUUUGCUCUAACUGGACUAUAGUAGCCUUGGUAUGUCAAUAUGUGAAGCAUGGUUCUAGGCGACAAUCUGCUACCAUGCAGAGAUGUGUUAGUUGUGUGCUAUGGAUCAAAGGCAAGUUCACAAGGAAUUCGGAGGACAAAAUGAGUCAGUCCUCAAUUUUGGCGCUCCACCCAAGGAAAACUCCAAUGGCUCUUCUUCAGCGUCUUCAUCUAGCAGGCCAACCUAAGAAGACACCAAGUGCAGUGAAAUCUGCUAUCGUUGGUGCACUGAGAAACAGCUACAAGAGAGGACAAAUCAGUGGUCAUGUGCCAUCUUUCCAAAGGAUCCUACAUCUGCAAGACGACAACAAGAUAAUUUGGACAUUUGGGGAAAGAGGUACAACCGAGAUCAUGCUUGUAUGUCACAUUGCCACGGCAAUCCUCGGAGCAAGGUCGCGACCGCAUCAACCUCCAUCCAACUCUGACCAUAUGUCUGCUGCCAAUCACAUAUCGCAGUAUUGCGCCUACCUGGUGGCACACUGUCCUGAGCUACUUCCUGAAGAUGAUGAAUGGUGCAAGAGCCUAUACAAGGCCAUCAAGAAAGAUGCCAAGCGUGUACUCGUUGGCAAAAAAAUUAGGCAGUCGAUGACAUCUGAGCUGGAGUGCCAGAACUGGUUGAUUGAGUUGCUGUGUGCAGAGGGUAAACAUGAGGUGCUCUUGGAUGGCGCGAGGCUUGCGGAGCGGUUGGUUGGGCUAACUGAAGAAGAAGGAGAGGAGAUGGCGUGGAAGGCCCUCGCAGUCUUUUGGUCAGAGAUGAUCCUGUAUGUCGCCCCGUCACACAACAUCGAUGGGCAUUUGGAGGCGAUCGCCCGUGGCGGCGAGCUGAUAACUCUUGUCUGGGCUUUGGUCACCCACCUCGGCAUAGUCGGUAGGUCCGACGACAUCACUGAUAGUGCUACUACCAUUGAUGUUUAA
This 2337-nucleotide ribosomal RNA is filed under the name Triticum aestivum (bread wheat). RNAcentral's name for it is "partial small subunit ribosomal RNA". Lineage: Eukaryota; Viridiplantae; Streptophyta; Magnoliopsida; Poales; Poaceae. The record is from RNAcentral.